AGUGACAAGAAAUAACAAUACAAGGCAGUUAAAAUGCUUUGUAAUUGGAAUGAUAGAAAUUUAAACACUUUUUAAAGUAUCAAUUGGAGGGCAAGUCUGGUGCCAGCAGCCGCGGUAAUUCCAGCUCCAAUAGCGUAUAUUAAAAUUGUUGCAGUUAAAAAGCUCGUAGUUGAAUUUCUGUUAAAAAUAACCGGUCUGCUUUUAAUAAAAGUGGUAUCUUGGUGUGUUUUUAGCAAUAAUGUCCUUUGAAAUGUUUUUUACUUUAUUGUAAUAAAUAAUAUUCAGGAUUUUUACUUUGAGAAAAUUAGAGUGUUUCUAGCAGGCUAACGCUUUGAAUACUGCAGCAUGGAAUAAUAAAAUAGGAUUUUAGUUCUACAUUAUUGGUUUUAAGAACUAAAUUAAUGAUUGAUAGGGACAGUUGGGGGCAUUUGUAUUUAACUGUCAGAGGUGAAAUUCUUAGAUUUGUUAAAGACAAACUACUGCGAAAGCAUUUGCCAAAGAUGUUUUCAUUAAUCAAGAACGAAAGUUAGGGGAUCGAAGACGAUCAGAUACCGUCGUAGUCUUAACUAUAAACUAUGCCGACUAGAGAU
Molecule: ribosomal RNA, 590 nt
Filed under: Hepatozoon felis
Lineage: Eukaryota; Apicomplexa; Hepatozoidae
Description: SSU rRNA
Rfam family: Eukaryotic small subunit ribosomal RNA
Source: RNAcentral